RNAcentral lists this ribosomal RNA (336 nucleotides) under Salmonella enterica subsp. enterica serovar Oranienburg. RNAcentral describes it as "bacterial LSU rRNA". It matches the Rfam family "Bacterial large subunit ribosomal RNA", at positions 2607 to 2925 of the family's 2925-position model. The record is from RNAcentral. Lineage: Bacteria; Pseudomonadati; Pseudomonadota; Gammaproteobacteria; Enterobacterales; Enterobacteriaceae.
GGGUUUAGAACGUCGUGAGACAGUUCGGUCCCUAUCUGCCGUGGGCGCUGGAGAACUGAGGGGGGCUGCUCCUAGUACGAGAGGACCGGAGUGGACGCAUCACUGGUGUUCGGGUUGUCAUGCCAAUGGCACUGCCCGGUAGCUAAAUGCGGAAGAGAUAAGUGCUGAAAGCAUCUAAGCACGAAACUUGCCCCGAGAUGAGUUCUCCCUGAGACUUAGAGUCUCCUGAAGGAACGUUGAAGACGACGACGUUGAUAGGCCGGGUGUGUAAGCGCAGCGAUGCGUUGAGCUAACCGGUACUAAUGAACCGUGAGGCUUAACCUUACAACGCCGAAG